This 517-nucleotide ribosomal RNA is filed under the name uncultured bacterium. RNAcentral's name for it is "bacterial SSU rRNA". It matches the Rfam family "Bacterial small subunit ribosomal RNA", at positions 8 to 518 of the family's 1533-position model. The record is from RNAcentral.
AGAGUUUGAUUCUGGCUCAGGAUGAACGCUGGCGGCGUGCCUAAUACAUGCAGGUCGAACGAGGGUAGCAAUACUCGAGUGGCGAACGGGUGAGUAACACGUAGGUAACCUGCCUUACAGUUUGGGAUACCCGAGGGAAACCUUGGCUAAUACCGAAUAAUUCUUCUGAAGGCAUCUUCGGAAGCUAAAAGGGGCCUUUAAAGCCUCGCUGAAUGAUGGACCUGCGGCGCAUUAGCUAGUUGGUGAGAUAAUAGCCCACCAAGGCGAGGAUGCGUAGCCGACCUAAGAGGGUGAACGGCCACACUGGAACUGAGACACGGUCCAGACUCCUACGGGAGGCAGCAGUAGGGAGUUUUCGGCAAUGGGGGAAACCCUGACCGAGCAACGCCGCGUGAACGAUGAAAGGUCUUCGGAUUGUAAAGUUCUGUUAUAAGGGAAGAAUGAUAGCUUGAGGAAAUGCUAGUUAUUUGACGGUACCUUAUUAGAAAGCCACGGCUAACUACGUGCCAGCAGCUGC